ACUCCUACGGGAGGCAGCAGUGGGGAAUAUUGGGCAAUGGAGGAAACUCUGACCCAGCGACGCCGCGUGCGGGAUGAAGGCCUUCGGGUUGUAAACCGCUUUCAGUAGGGAAGAAGCGAAAGUGACGGUACCUACAAAAGAAGCACCGGCUAACU
RNAcentral lists this ribosomal RNA (155 nucleotides) under uncultured bacterium. RNAcentral's name for it is "partial 16S ribosomal RNA". It matches the Rfam family "Bacterial small subunit ribosomal RNA", at positions 335 to 502 of the family's 1533-position model. The record is from RNAcentral.